GAAACUUGUGAGCAAAACCAAUAAAAUGCAUGACCAAAGAGCUGUAGUAUAAGUAGUUAGCUAAUAUAAAAGGUUGCCAAGAAGAGGUAUAGCCAAGUGGAGUUGACGAGGUAACAUAGUUGUUACCUCACAGUUGUUCCGUUUUGUCGACCUUGUCCAAUAGAUUGCCGGAAGUCGUUGUUAUCAAGACCCCAGUCUGCAGUCUCUUCAAGAUAGUACAGAACAAGAGAACCCCCAUACAGUGAUAUUAUAGCGGAGUAUA
RNAcentral lists this long non-coding RNA (262 nucleotides) under Capsicum annuum. RNAcentral describes it as "long non-coding RNA (CANN_LNC016072)". The record is from RNAcentral. Lineage: Eukaryota; Viridiplantae; Streptophyta; Magnoliopsida; Solanales; Solanaceae.